RNAcentral lists this ribosomal RNA (247 nucleotides) under uncultured bacterium. RNAcentral describes it as "partial 16S ribosomal RNA". It matches the Rfam family "Bacterial small subunit ribosomal RNA", at positions 525 to 771 of the family's 1533-position model. The record is from RNAcentral.
ACGUAUGGUGCAAGCGUUAUCCGGAUUUACUGGGUGUAAAGGGAGCGUAGACGGAGUGGCAAGUCUGAUGUGAAAACCCGGGGCUCAACCCCGGGACUGCAUUGGAAACUGUCAAUCUGGAGUACCGGAGAGGUAAGCGGAAUUCCUAGUGUAGCGGUGAAAUGCGUAGAUAUUAGGAGGAACACCAGUGGCGAAGGCGGCUUACUGGACGGUAACUGACGUUGAGGCUCGAAAGCGUGGGGAGCAA